CCCACUGGCGGCCAGCUACACAUGCAGUCGAACGAAGUAGCAAUACUUAGUGGCAGACGGGUGAGUAACAUGUAGGUAUCUGCCCUUUGGCCUGGAAUAACACGAGGAAACUUGUGCUAAUACCGGAUAAGUCUUUACGGAGAAAGCUUUAUGCACCAUUGGAUGAGCCUGCACUUGAUUAGUUUGUUGGUAGGGUAAUGGCCUACCAAGACUGUGAUCAAUAGCUGAUUUGAGAGGAUGAUCAGCCACAUUGGGACUGAGACACGGCCCAAACUCCUACGGGAGGCAGCAGUGGGGAAUCUUGCGCAAUGGAGGAAACUCUGAUGCAGCGAUGCCGCGUGAGUGAAGAAGGCCUUUGGGUUGUAAAGCUCUUUCGUCGGGGAAGAAAAUGACUGUACCCGAAUAAGAAGGUCCGGCUAACUUCGUGCCAGCAGCCGCGGUAAUACGAAGGGACCUAGCGUAGUUCGGAAUUACUGGGCUUAAAGAGUUCGUAGGUGGUUGAAAAAGUUAGUGGUGAAAUCCCAGAGCUUAACUCUGGAACUGCCAUUAAAACUUUUCAGCUAGAGUAUGAUAGAGGAAAGCAGAAUUUCUAGUGUAGAGGUGAAAUUCGUAGAUAUUAGAAAGAAUACCAAUUGCGAAGGCAGCUUUCUGGAUCAUUACUGACACUGAGGAACGAAAGCAUGGGUAGCGAAGAGGAUUAGAUACCCUCGUAGUCCAUGCCGUAAACGAUGUGUGUUAGACGUUGGAAAUUUAUUUUCAGUGUCGCAGGGAAACCGAUAAACACACCGCCUGGGGAGUACGACCGCAAGGUUAAAACUCAAAUGAAUUGACGGGGACCCGCACAAGUAGUGGAGCAUGUGGUUUAAUUCGAAGAUACGCGCAGAACCUUACCAACACUUGACAUGUUCGUCGCGACUCUAAGAGAUUAGAGUUUUCGGUUCGGCCGGACGAAACACAGGUGCUGCAUGGCUGUCGUCAGCUCGUGUCGUGAGAUGUUGGGUUAAGUCCCGCAACGAGCGCAACCCUCACUUUUAGUUGCCAUCAUUAAGUUGGGCACUCUGAAAGAACUGCCAGUGAUAAGCUGGAGGAAGGUGGGGAUGACGUCAAGUCCUCAUGGCCCUUACGUGUUGGGCUACACACGUGCUACAAUGGUAUCUACAACAGGAAGCAAGACUGCGAAGUUAAGCAAAUCCCUAAAAGAUACCUCAGUUCGGAUUGCACUCUGCAACUCGAGUGCAUGAAGCUGGAAUUACUAGUAAUCGUGGAUCAGCGUGCCACGGUGAAUGCGUUCCCGGGUCUUGUACACACCGCCCGUCACACCAUGGGAGUUGGUUCUACCUUAAGGCAAGGUUUAAAACCCCUGACCAUCGGUAUUACGACGGU
RNAcentral lists this ribosomal RNA (1383 nucleotides) under uncultured bacterium. RNAcentral's name for it is "bacterial SSU rRNA". It matches the Rfam family "Bacterial small subunit ribosomal RNA". The record is from RNAcentral.